RNAcentral lists this long non-coding RNA (683 nucleotides) under Marmota monax (woodchuck). Lineage: Eukaryota; Metazoa; Chordata; Mammalia; Rodentia; Sciuridae. The record is from RNAcentral.
GAAUGAGCUUACAAUUCAUUGAAUUUUGAAAGUGCAUCAGUUUAACCUGAUUUAGUCUCUAGGUUGAUGAUGAAGCUUUAUGAGUACUCAAAACGGAAAUGAGUUAGUGUAUGUCCUGCAAACAGCACCCCCCCACACACCCCCACGUUACAAAUGUUCACCUCAUUUCUCCUAGGAAGGCCAGCAUUGUUAGGUUCAGCAUCCUUCUGAAUGGACAGUCCCCAUAGGACCAGUCGGUUCUCUAUCUUGAAUCAUCUCCCAGCUUAUAGUCAAAGAAUUCACUGUGUUCAUAUAAUUAAAGAAAUAGUAGUUCAAAUAAGAGGGAGUUUACUAUAAUAAAAUGUUUUACAUCAUAGAAUUAGAAUAAGUAUAAGAGAAGACAUUUUACCAAAGGAUAUAUUUCCAAGUGAACACCCAAAUCCUGUACAUAAGAGAAAAGUAGGGGUAGCAGAGGGGACUCAUUGAUGGUUUUUUAAGGCAAUAAGCUAUAUAACAUCAUUUCAAAAAAUUUUAGGGCUGUGAUUAUAACUCAGUGAUAGAGUACCUGCCUAAUAAUCACAAAUCCUGGGCUCAAAUCCUCAGUACUACCCCCCACACACAAAAAAAAAAAAAAUCCUAGGGCCGAUUAAAACUUGUGAUACUCCUGCUGCACCACCACACCCAGCCUAGAACCAUUUAAAAAA